This 294-nucleotide long non-coding RNA is filed under the name Apteryx rowi (Okarito brown kiwi). RNAcentral's name for it is "lncRNA (ENSARWG00000017154.1)". Lineage: Eukaryota; Metazoa; Chordata; Aves; Apterygiformes; Apterygidae. The record is from RNAcentral.
CCAGCAGGUAAUUCACAAAAAUGGUGACUCAUGACUAGAAGCUAACACGUGAAGAUACUCUGCACUCCCCCACCUCUCCAAACAAGGAUCUGCUGGCAGACAGUGCUCGGCUGCCACUUCCCUCGGAUACAAAUGACUUGUCCCUAAUAAGCCUACUGUUAAUCAGCACUGCAUUGAUGUGGGAUGAAAAUAGAUUUAAGUCUGAGAAGAGAGACACCUGGAUGAUACACUUAGAGGAGUAAGUUCAGUGUUCCUUCUAACAGAGCUUGAGAGUUUGAAAAAUGAAGCUGCACU